This is a non-coding RNA of Cricetulus griseus (Chinese hamster), 3224 nucleotides long. NCBI's taxonomy places the organism in Eukaryota, Metazoa, Chordata, Mammalia, Rodentia, Cricetidae. The record is from RefSeq and is a predicted model, not a curated record.
GUCCCAGGGGACAGUGGGAGACCUAGAGAAGAAGUUCGGUGCAGGGACACCAACCACAGUGACUCACAGUUGGAUCCCAUAGGGAAGUUCCAGCUACAAACCCCUGGGAUGACACUAGUCCCAGGCUGAGCUCACCCCUGCAACUAAUGAUGCCGGCUUGGGCUCCCAGCUUUCCCCUCUCAACUCCCUGCCUAGUGGAAGUUGUCAUCUGAGUGGCAGCGCCCCCCCCACCCCCCCCAAAGCACACAUGAUGGAUGGAGUUGAGGAAAGGGCAUGUCCUCCCAGGGUGUCAGAUUUUUCAUCAGUUACAACAGUCCUUCCUCCCUCUGACACCACACAGGAGGAGCCUUGGGGGCUAGAAGGCAAUGAUGUCACAGCUCUUUGAAAGGAAGUAGGCAGAGCCAGCCCUCUAAUCCUGUAAGAUUACUGAGGCAGCAGGGCAAGGCACUGGGUGGGAAGCUGUCCCCAGGAGUUGCCCAGAAACACACCUGGCCUUGGCCUUGGUAGGAACACAGGGGCCAAGAUUCUUCCCUCCUUCUCCAAACACUAUCAACAGAGCACCCAUUUCCAAGGCUUUACCCAGAUACGCACCUAGUUCUCCCUAGAUAGACACCAGACUUCAAUGUCUUACAGGCUCAAUUUCCAUCACACAGUUGCUAACAACAGCCAAGGCUGGAGGCACAGGGAUACAUUCUCGGGAAGACCCUCUGUAUCCAGGGUUAACUUGAGCGAGGCACUCUGAGCCCGUCUCUCCUUGAUGGCUGUUGUAGCAUGAUGGCUGACCCCAUAAUUUCUACAGCUGUCAAUUAGCGCAGCUCGUUCUCAGAGGGAAAAGUCAGGUGAGAGAAAGACUGGGGAGCUGCAAGACCAGGGCAGCCCUCAGAGAUGGGAGGAGCCCACACAGGAGCACCCUCAGCACUGUUAGCUGCUCCAAGGCCUGAUGGUGAAACUUCUAGGUGUCCCUUGAAUGCCCCUAGCACCUACCCAUGCCCGAAGAUAUGCAGAACAAGAAAACAUAGGCAUUUGGCCACUCUCCUCUUACCCAUGUUCCCAUUUCCUUUGCCAGUAGGCCUGCAGGGUGUGUGUAUUGGGGAUGACAUUAAGCCCAGAGCCCAAUGCCAGAGGCGAAUCUAAAUUCAGCAGUUAUGGAAGCUCCUGAGAUGUGACCAGGGCUUUCUGGACCAUUGCCAUCAUCACUACCAUUCUGUAUAUGACAGGGUAGGAGGGAGAUGGGCACAUUAUGUCUCUCUGCCUCUGUCUCUGUCUCUCUCUCUCUCUCUCACCCUCCCUCCCUCCCCCCUCUCUCAAACACACACACAGUUUAGACCCUCUCCUCCCAGCCACCUGCUCUUCUGGGCUUCGAUACCAGCCCCUGAGAAAGGACCUUAGGAGGGAGAGUCAGACCCUAGCACACCGCACCAGCGCUGCUGCGCUCUCUCAACAGCAGGGUCUAGGGCCUCCAGGCUCUCCCUGGCCUGGUUCUCUUGCGCAUCAGCCCUCACUGAGAUGCUCACACAUCUAUCUGCUCUGCUUCGCAAGUCCACCCUGAGCUUCCAUGCUCCUGCUUUGAUCCGCUAAUGCGACCAUUCCCUCUGUCCCAAAGAGUCUUCACAAAAGCAUGCAGGGUGUCCUCCGUCCCUCCUUCAGGUCUCCAUCUCCCUCUAAUGAAAGCUAUAACCUGUGCUCACCCCUCCCUCCAGCUGCGCUGGGCUGGGUUUCCCGGCUCCAUAUUCGUCUGCAAUACCAUCAGCUGUUUGUAUCCUCUUUAGUUGUUUGAAAACUUUGUUUUUACUACAUAUCACCUACACUCACCCUAUUAAUCUCAGGGAUGGCAGACAUCAAUGUAUAGCUGCAGAAUGAAUGAACAAAGAAAGGAACCACUGCCAUUUAGGUAUGGGGGGAAAAGCUACAUCCUAUGGGAUAUUCUGGCCUUUGGGUUGAGGAGGAAGCCUAAGGGCUGAUAAAGGGUAAGACUUGUUUUCAGAUGGGUGGCGGUACCCAUGGUUUGCCUGGAAAUCCCCUCAAGACACUUAUUAACUAUUCCUGACCCCAAUAUGCACAUAGUCCUCUAGUGACCAAGCCCAGACAGCAGCUAAAACAAUCUUUCAACAACAGUCAUUGAGUACGAGGUCACGCUCCCAUGAGGGAGCUCACUGUCACUCGGGUACCUUCUCUGCGCUCCUUGGAUUUUCAGAUGAAAACUGACGAUAGGAGGAGUUGGAAUGCAUAGAUUCAGGGACAAGAUGCCCUUCCACACCUACUGCCUAGAGCCCUGAGGGGAUUCAGAAGCGGCCUUGCAGAUGACAUCCUGAAGGGCCAGGUGAAGGAGAAGCCAGCCUUAUGGGACAUGUGUGCUUACGGGCACACAUGAAUGUGAUGGUCACGGUGCAGAAGGGAAGGAUGUGGAGACACAGAGAGCAGGAAGAAUCUUGUCUUGUGGGGUGUGAGUGGAGGGCAGCCGGGUGCACAAGGACCAGAGAAAGGCAGUGAGGACACGGGAGAAGCUGCACCUGUUAUCAGCUCAUCACUCUUGUCACACAGGGCAUGAGUCCCGGAGGCCGAGAGCUCAGGGAACUAGGGAUUGAACCUAGGGCCUCAUGCAUACCAGGCAAGAGCUCUACUACUAAGCUACAGCCCCAGGACCCAUAAUUGUUACCUUCUAUUUGGAGAUGUGAGGACCCUCUCUGUCACGUCCCUCUGAUACUUAACCAGCGAAGCCUAGUCCGUGUCCUACAAACCAAGAAAAGCUGCCUGACUUUGCAGCCAUUUCUGGAUCUUCAACGUCAAUGUGCCCUGCAUUUGGUAAGAGCUGAAGACAAUGGGGAUAGGUUGUCUGUGUCCUCUCUAUGGAGACCUAGAUGCUUGCAGAGUGGGCAGUUGACCUCACGUGAACUCACAGGCACAAACAUCUAGAGCUCAGCCCAGCACUUUACCAACAGCCAGGAGGAACACCAGGAGUGUACCACAUUCCACGGCCAGCAGCAUGCAGACAUCCUCCAUAAUAGUAGAGCCCUCCCUCCUAUCACGCUGAAUUUGCUGCUUCUUGUGGCCUAUGCAUCUCUCAGCUUUUUCCUGCCUGUCUCCAUCCACAGUCACAAACUGUGGCCUGACUUUGUUCCUCUGACUAGAACUUCCUUCAACAGCCUUGAACUUGGGUGUAAAGACAGAGCCCAAAAUUCUGUGCAAAGGAUGAAUAAAAAUAAUAAAAAUUGAAAACAGCAAAA